UUUAUCAAUUCGAUUAAAGGGCAUUCGACUAGUCUUUCCAUUACAAUUUUGUGAACGAAAUUUUUUUAGUUUUAAAAGUGACUGUGACAAGACACUUCAAAGAAACUGCUAUAUUUAAAAACGAAAUAACGUAUUUCAAUAUGUUGAUCCAAUUUAGUGUCGGCCUGUUUUUUUAUUUAUCAAUAUCAAUAGUUCAAACUUCCCCUAUCAACAUCGCCGAGAAUUCAUAUGACUCAUUAUUGCCAGACGUACUACUUGCCAAGAUCACCAACAAUUCUGAAUACUCGGUCAUACCUGCCAACAUCACCUGCCUUACUCCAAGACAAAAGGAAUAUUACGUAGGUCUUCAGCUGCUUGCUCAUCUACUUUUAAAUUUUCAUGAGAAAACGUUGGAUAAUAAAGAAGAGGGUGUGACAAGAAAGUGUGCGAUUGAUGGUCCUUGUGGUAUAUUAACGACGAAAAGUAUUCAGCCCCUGCCCGAGGAUGAUGAAGAUGAUGUCGGUUAUUCUAUUAAUCCUGUUGACAAUGCUACAAGGUGUAUUUGUCAAAAGCCCCAGCGAACUUGCUCAAAUGGUCCAUUGACAAAAUUGGAGGAUGGAAGUGAAGGUUUCAUUUUCUAUUGCCGUAAUAAAAAUUGCGAAGAUCACACAACGUGGUUGAAAAAGAGAUGGGGUGAUCUGCAGAAGAAAAACAGCCUUAUACAUAAUUUUACACAGGUAUAAGUGAAUUAAUUUUACGUUUUUUGUAUGGUACAUCAGCCAGAGACCAUUCGAACUGAUGAAUAAAAGAGGAAUGUGGAUCGAAAAAAUACCGACUGAAAAUUUUUUUCACGAUAAAACAUUGCCAAAUUGGCUGUCCGAGUCCUCUCUGAAAAAAUUUUGUAUGAAACGCGAUUUAUUGGGAAAAAAUCAAUAAUAAUUAUGUACUUUAUUGUUCCUAAAAAAUUUUUAAAAGAAACUUUUCCACAUAUAAAAUAAUUUUUUGAAAAAGCGAGCAUUCUUAGAAAAAUUAUUUGAUAAGGAAAAUUUAUAUGUAUCGAUCCAAGCCAAGCGAAUAGCGAGAGAGCAAAAUUUUUGAGAAAUUUUUGAAAUUUUUCAGUCGGUGAUUUUAUAAUUCAGUCGAAAUUUUAUUUAAAGUUUUGAGUUAACUUAAGCAGUUUGUUGCCGCCCCCCCCUUCUUCAAGGUGGCUCUGAACCUAGCUGAUACUUUCAUUGCAUAUUUUCUAGAAUUAGCAAUAUUUUUACAAUUAUGCGUAGGUACUUGGGUACUAUUUUGUGGAAAAUAUACUUUGUAUUAUUAGA
Molecule: long non-coding RNA, 1301 nt
Organism: Planococcus citri (citrus mealybug)
Lineage: Eukaryota; Metazoa; Arthropoda; Insecta; Hemiptera; Pseudococcidae
Exons: 3
Source: RefSeq, a predicted model, not a curated record